UACGUAGGGGGCGAGCGUUGUCCGGAAUGACUGGGCGUAAAGGGUACGUAGGCGGCCAGAUAAGUCUGAUGUGAAAGGCAUGGGCUUAACCCGUGUUAGCAUUUGAAACUGUGUGGCUUGAGUUAAGGAGAGGAAAGUGGAAUUCCUGGUGUAGCGGUGAAAUGCGUAGAUAUCAGGAGGAAUACCAGUGGCGAAGGCGACUUUCUGGACUUAAACUGACGCUGAGGUACGAAAGCAUGGGGAGCAAACAGG
This 252-nucleotide ribosomal RNA is filed under the name uncultured bacterium. RNAcentral's name for it is "partial 16S ribosomal RNA". It matches the Rfam family "Bacterial small subunit ribosomal RNA", at positions 524 to 776 of the family's 1533-position model. The record is from RNAcentral.